GAACUUCUGCAUGCUGCAGGCAUGGCCAAACAAAACAAAAUACAAAAGUCCAACCAUAUGCUCUUUAUGAGAGAAACAUCUAAAACAUACGGAUACCAGUAGAUUGAAAUAAUGGAAUUAAGUUACGCCGUGGUAGGUAUUAUUACAUAAAACUUAAGGCAGAAUGCAUUACUAAGAGUAAAGGUCAUUGUAUAAUAAAAAUUCCCAAUCACCAGAAGUAUCUACUAAUUCUAGAUUCUACUUACGACUUCAAAACACAUGAAGCAAAAAUUGGUCAUCUACAAGGAGAAAUAUAUAAAUGUACAAUCACGGCGAGAGAUUUUAACACAUUAAAAUCCCGAGGGCAAUCCUUACCUCGUGCAGGAUGAGAACCAAGCAGUAGAAAAAUAAUCACCAUGUCACCCUCAAGUGGUGAUUCUACAUGGCUCUUCAGACAGUCCCCAGAAAAGUAAAGCCCAUUUCCUCUCAGCAGAGAUCAGCUCAGUAGAACAUUGAAUUGGAUUGUCUUCCUUCCUUGUCUUGCUCUCCCCAGACCCCGUUCUUUUUCCCUUGGACUCAUCCCAGAGUAAAUUCUUGCAUGCAAAGUACUUCUCUCAACCCUGCUACUUUGUGGACCCAGGCUAAGACACUUGGUGAUACAAGCAGUUCUACAAACAAACCGUCCAAAUGGAUUCUAGUAUUGGACCAACUGGAUCCAGUAAGGAUCCCAGUCAUGUUGGUAAAUGGGGUGACAUUAACCCUUGGCACGCAGCAGCAUCACAGUUGCUGAGGUUUUCACCAGCAGUGAAUUGGAAUGGUGAAUUCGGAAGAUGAGGCAUUGCUUUAUGUAGUGGCAAUUCAUAAAAAAAUACGUGGUCAGUGUUAAUUAUAGGGAAUGUAGAGCUGGCUGACUCUGGUUGCUGGUCUUUAGAAGUCUUGUGAGAGGAGAGGAAAAUGGCAGCUUGAUUGGCCAACUGUCAACCUCAAGGAAUGCUGUGCAACUGGGAAAGUUUCCAGGACAACAGAGAAAUGUCCCUCUCCCCCCAACAGCCCUAGGAAGAUAGUUGCCAUUCAUCCUAGGCUUUAAUUGUGAGUACAGCUCGGUUACCAAGGAGAACACAGCCUUAAGGAGACUCUGAGGUCAGUGUCAGGGCCCAGCUAAGGAAAUAGCAGACCUUGAGACAUGGGGUAAGGGUAUUUGGAUGGACAAAUCUGAGACCCUUGAACCCCACAUUCCUCUGAUCCCAGGAACUGUCCCUCCUCUUUCCUGGAGAAGGAAUGGUCUUCCCUGGCUGCAGACACUGCGAAGACACCACUAGAGGCAGGAGCUUCACAAGGUGGGGUUCGUCCUAAGAUCUGCCUCUACCUCCUUUGUUUCCUCCAGACCAGCCGUCAAGUCAGGCGCAGCCCAAGCAAGAUGAUCCAGCUCCUCCUUUUGGGAGAUACCGUGUGUACUCAAAGGCUCGAAAGUGUUGGUUAACAGGCGCUAAAGGUGAACCAGAGACCUCAUGUUGGACUGGGUCUUAAGGAGCAGCCAAGGAAAGAUGCCUCCUUGUGUUUCAGUUUCUUCAACUGUCAAAUCUGAUUACGAGUGCCUGUCCAACCUACUUUAUAUACUUAUUAGAGUAAAUGAAGAAAUUAAUAUUAUAGUGAACUCUGCUAGGGACUAUACUAGGCACUUCACAUAAAUUAUUUAAUUAGGAUAAAAUUGGGCAAGUGUAAACACUUAAUCUAGUUCUAAACUUGUUUAGAACACAAACACAACAUUGUAAUCAACUACACGCCAAUACAUUUUUUAAAAGAAGACUUAAAUGUGUUAUUUUUAAUAGCAUGCCCUAGGAAAAAUGCAGAUUUGUGAAACCUUGUUGCCUAAAAGGAAAGAAGAAAAGGAAGCCGGUGUUUCAAAAACUCAGACAUAUUAGAAUAUGGCAUUGAGUAAGCUGUUGUCUUGUUUGGGGGAAGGUGGACCAUCUGAAGAGGGCUUUAGGGACAGUUCUAGUCAUUGACCUUGGGAGAAGCAGGGUAGGAACAGUGCUGCUGCGGAAGCUGAGAGAGCAGUUCUUUGUCCAGUGGAGCACAGUGAACUCCUGGGUGGCACCUGUGGUGUCUUGGGUAACGCAUGGCCUCCCACCCAGACUGCCUCGGUUGGAAUCCCAGCUCUGGCGCUCAGCCCACUGGGGGAUAUUGGACAGGUAGUUACAAAACUCCAUUUUAUGGAGUUCCCUGGUGGCACAGCAGGUGAAGAAUUUGACCUUGGUAGUGCUGCAGCUCAGGUCACUGGUGUGGCAUGGGUUCCACCUCUGGCCUGGGAACUUCCGUAUGCCGAGGACACGG
RNAcentral lists this long non-coding RNA (2313 nucleotides) under Sus scrofa (pig). RNAcentral describes it as "lncRNA (ENSSSCG00055026512.1)". The record is from RNAcentral. Lineage: Eukaryota; Metazoa; Chordata; Mammalia; Artiodactyla; Suidae.